Long non-coding RNA from Brachypodium distachyon (stiff brome), 1720 nucleotides. RefSeq lists it as uncharacterized. The record is from RefSeq and is a predicted model, not a curated record. NCBI's taxonomy places the organism in Eukaryota, Viridiplantae, Streptophyta, Magnoliopsida, Poales, Poaceae. The transcript has 6 exons.
CUCUCCCUCCCUCCCUCAGGCCAAGAGCAUACGGCCGCAGGUCCUCAUCUUCACUCCACCGCGUGUUCGACGAGAUGCACGCCCGCCCGCCCUCAUCUACUGUUAAGAUGAGAAACACCUAUUCAUGUAUGUUACCUGUUCGGCAGAAUGCUUGUGAGAGAUGUGUUUAUCAAGCAAGUUUCCUUUAGUUCUUGCAAAAAUUAAAAUGAAGUUGAUUUUAUUUACACUUUUCAUUUUCGAUUUGAUUUACCUUCGCGCAAGCAAUUCCCAGAUGAGGAAGAGUACUAAGCUUUAUCAGAUUAGUAUCAUCUUCUUUGUGCAAGCAAAAGAAGUUUUCUAGAGAUUUCAAUUCUGACCAUACCAUAUACUUUCAUUGCAGUUUAUUAAUUUUUACACCUCUGAUGUUAUCAGUUCAUUCUUGACUGUUUCUACAUUGAAAGGGGCUUGUAAAAUCUGAAUGCAGUACAGUUUUUUGCCCAAAAUCACCAGGAUUCAGUGCAGUUUUGGCUAGAAUAGAAGUGCCAGACAUCUACAAUUUUGAAAGAUGAUAUAUGCAGUUGUUUUCUCGUCAGGAUUCGGUGCAGUUUCGGUGGGAGAAGGGAGCAGUGGAGUUUCAUUUCAUGCCGUUAGGAAAUCAGGAGGCUGGGGUGAUAUAACCAAGGUUCUUAAAUUGGAUCCACUAGUUCAGCGGAUUUUUGUUGUUGCUCGUCAAAGAUCUUCUAGAUCUGUGUGAUGAGGGCAUUGAUGCCUUCUACAAUGCUCGUGCUCAGGAAAUGGAAAUUAGAGAGAUGGAUUUAAAGGCAAAGGUUGACGAGUUAGCAAGGAGCAACAGGCUACUCAACAUAAAGCAUCGGCAACUACUUCUGAAGCUACUGGAAAUGCUCUGCUAGAAGCUGAAUCAUUUUAUUAAGUUGAAAGACUUGGAAGAGAAGAAGGGAGAGUUGAAAUUAUUGGAAGACAAAGUGCAAAGCUUGGAGAAAGUAUGGUCAUUGGUUCCAGAAGAAUCUUUGAAAAAUCCGAGCCCUGGUACAUUUCUCCAUGCAUAUUAACCUUUUUAUUCACUAAUCGUACUUUCUUCAUCUUUAGUUGCAGAAGUAUAGGCAGCAUAGAUUGAUGCAGUGCGAAUGAUAAUUAGUUUGGUGGUUCUCUUUACUUCUUAAACAGCUAAUUAAUCAAUGUAGUAGUUUGUAUCUUUAAACAGCUAGUGUGAAAUAUGAAGUCAUUAGUAUAAUUACACGUAUUGUGAACAUUCAGUAGUUUGCUUCCGUAAAACAUUGAAUUCCUCGUUUUGUCUUUAGUACAUGCAAGUUUUGUUUACUGAAUGCAUACUGACUGAAUGUACAGGAAUAUUUUUUUAUUGCCUGUAGUACAUGAUGGUCCGUGUAGUACAUGAUGAACUGACCUUUCGAAAUUGUUUAAAUUUACUUACCUUGAUUUCUCCUUUUAGCCUCACAAGGUGUGCACUACAUAAGAUUUACACAAGGUUCAAAGCCAGGCAAAUUUUUGCAAGAACCCAGUUCAGCUUCAGCAGCGACCCAUGUGCCGCGCCAAGGCACGCCCCAGCAGCCACCAAAGGGAUUGUUAGACUUCAAGCUUGCCGGCAGUGUGUUCACGAGUGUGGUGUGCAUCUUCUUCAGGAGCACUCUGCAUAGUUAGUCUCAAGAUGCAUAUACCUCUUUGUUUUGUUUUGCUUUCUGAACUUCGUGAAGUACUCAAAAGC